This 497-nucleotide ribosomal RNA is filed under the name uncultured bacterium. RNAcentral describes it as "partial 16S ribosomal RNA". It matches the Rfam family "Bacterial small subunit ribosomal RNA", at positions 28 to 507 of the family's 1533-position model. The record is from RNAcentral.
GAUGAACGCUGGCGGCGUGCCUAAUACAUGCAAGUCGAGCGAACAGACGAGGAGCUUGCUCCUCUGACGUUAGCGGCGGACGGGUGAGUAACACGUGGAUAACCUACCUAUAAGACUGGGAUAACUUCGGGAAACCGGAGCUAAUACCGGAUAAUAUAUUGAACCGCAUGGUUCAAUAGUGAAAGACGGUUUUGCUGUCACUUAUAGAUGGAUCCGCGCCGCAUUAGCUAGUUGGUAAGGUAACGGCUUACCAAGGCAACGAUGCGUAGCCGACCUGAGAGGGUGCUCGCCCACACUAGAACUGAGACACGGUCCAGACUCCUACGGGAGGCAGCAGUAGGGAAUCUUCCGCAAUGGGCGAAAGCCUGACGGAGCAACGCCGCGUGAGUGAUGAAGGUCUUCGGAUCGUAAAACUCUGUUAUUAGGGAAGAACAAAUGUGUAAGUAACUAUGCACGUCUUGACGGUACCUAAUCAGAAAGCCACGGCUAACUACGUG